AGAGUUUGAUCAUGGCUCAGAUUGAACGCUGGCGGCAGGCCUAACACAUGCAAGUCGAGCGGAAACGGCAUAACGGAACCUUCGGGUGAAGAUAUGGACGUCGAGCGGCGGACGGGUGAGUAAUGCUUAGGAAAUUGCCCAGUAGAGUGGGAUAACUAUUGGAAACGAUAGCUAAUACCGCAUAAUAUCUUCGGAUCAAAGUGGGGGACCAUUUGGCCUCAUGCUACUGGAUAUGCCUAAGUGAGAUUAGCUAGUUGGUGAGGUAAGAGCUCACCAAGGCGACGAUCUCUAGCUGGUCUGAGAGGAUGAUCAGCCACACUGGAACUGAGACACGGUCCAGACUCCUACGGGAGGCAGCAGUGGGGAAUAUUGCACAAUGGGCGCAAGCCUGAUGCAGCCAUGCCGCGUGUGUGAAGAAGGCCUUCGGGUUGUAAAGCACUUUCAGCAGUGAGGAAGGGGUAUAACUUAAUACGUUGUAUUCUUGACGUUAACUGCAGAAGAAGCACCGGCUAACUCCGUGCCAGCAGCCGCGGUAAUACGGAGGGUGCGAGCGUUAAUCGGAAUUACUGGGCGUAAAGCGCAUGCAGGCGGUUACUCAAGUCAGAUGUG
This 609-nucleotide ribosomal RNA is filed under the name uncultured Gammaproteobacteria bacterium. RNAcentral describes it as "bacterial SSU rRNA". It matches the Rfam family "Bacterial small subunit ribosomal RNA", at positions 8 to 596 of the family's 1533-position model. Lineage: Bacteria; Pseudomonadati; Pseudomonadota; Gammaproteobacteria. The record is from RNAcentral.